RNAcentral lists this ribosomal RNA (440 nucleotides) under uncultured bacterium. RNAcentral describes it as "partial 16S ribosomal RNA". It matches the Rfam family "Bacterial small subunit ribosomal RNA", at positions 338 to 795 of the family's 1533-position model. The record is from RNAcentral.
CCUACGGGGGGCAGCAGUGGGGAAUAUUGCACAAUGGGGGAAACCCUGAUGCAGCGACGCCGCGUGAGUGAAGAAGUAAUUCGGGAUGUAAAGCUCUAUCAGCAGGGAAGAAAAGGACGGUACCUGAGGAAGAAGCCCCGGCUAACGACGUGCCAGCAGCCGCGGUAAUACGUAGGGGGCAAGCGUUAUCCGGAUUUACUGGGUGUCAAGGGAGCGUAGACGGCAGUGCACGUCUGGAGUGAAAGGCGGGGGCUCCCCCCCCGGACUGCUCUGGAAACUGUACGGCUGGAGUGCAGGAGAGGUAAGUGCAAUUCCUCGUGUAGCGGUGAAAUGCGUCGAUAUUAGGAGGAACCCCAGUGGCGAAGGCGGCUUACUGGACUGUAACUGACGUUGAGGCUCGAAAGCGUGGGGAGCAAACCGGAUUAGAUACCCCUGUAGUC